This 244-nucleotide long non-coding RNA is filed under the name Mytilus galloprovincialis (Mediterranean mussel). The record is from RNAcentral. Lineage: Eukaryota; Metazoa; Mollusca; Bivalvia; Mytilida; Mytilidae.
GGUUGUAGUGCAUGUAUAUGUACAGGUGUGAUUGCCAAUAAGACAACUUCUAUAAGUAUCGACAAAAAAAGCAAAACAACAAUGUUAAUUAUAUAACCAGUUUAUAUGUACAUGCACAAAAUGUACAAAUGUAUGUCACCAGUCCUCAACAAUGAGCCCCCCCCCCCUUAUUUACUGGUGUGGUGUUAUUGUCAAUAAGACUAUAAUUAUAUGUAUCAACAAAAAAAGCAAAACAACAAUGUAA